Molecule: small nucleolar RNA, 138 nt
Organism: Tachyglossus aculeatus (Australian echidna)
Lineage: Eukaryota; Metazoa; Chordata; Mammalia; Monotremata; Tachyglossidae
Source: RefSeq, a predicted model, not a curated record
CCCCUCUCAGGAUCGCACCUGGAGGGUUUCCAGUACUCUACCAGUCUCGGCUAUGGGAGGGAGAAUAAGGCAGAGACAUACCCAUUCCAUUCCUAGCUUGGUCAGUGGCCCGCAAGUGGAAGAUAAUCUGCUACAAAU